UGGGACCUUACUUGUCGCAGCCACAACACCGCCACCACCCGCCGCCGCCGCCGCCGCCGCCUCCACCACCUCCUCGUCGCCCUCGUCUUCUAGCCAUGGCUGCGCAGCUGCUGCCUGCGCCCUAGUCGGGAGUUCGAAAGCGUCAGUCGGUCUCCUGGAAAGAGUGGCGGGGAGAGGCAGGCUGCGCGCUCGAAGGAGCGGGGAGAGGCGGCUUUCCAGGGGACAGGGAGAAAGAAUGAUUGGCCUUAAGAAAGAUGAAGACAGCAGUGGCUGGAGCUGCUUCAUCCGGUGCUUCCCUUGAUCAUGCCGGGCCGCAGGACUAUUCGGUCGCUGGAGCUGCCUUGCUUCCAGGGUCACCGCCUGUUCCCUUAGCUGCUUCCUGCUGCCUUCUCUUAAUUGCCCAGGUUGCCUCAGGGAGUGUUUUGUGACCAACCUUAGCCACCAUGGCAGCCAUUUUGUGAGCACACCUACAGCGUUCUGUCAAAACUCCAAAUGUGCCUGCUGACCCCCAAAGGAUGGAGACCUCUGCUCUACCUCCUCCUCCUCCUCCUCCUCCUUCACCACCACCACAAUACAGAAGAAACAUGCACUCAGGUGCUUCAUACCCUACAUCACGAUGGUAGCUUGCAGGUGGAAAGAAGUGUUGGCCUCCUUUCUGACACUGCAGUGCCACCGCUGAAGAUGGCCAGAAGGUAGUACUGCAGCUUCCAGCUCAGGAUGAAUCUGGUUGAGCAAGGUGCCAAUAGAGCCCCAUCUAGCUCAAUAAAGAUGUCAACAUUGGGUUUGGCUCCUCAGUAUGACAUUGCUCGGUAAAGAGUAUUGUGAAAUGCCUCCUUUCCUCUAGUCUUGAUUUGCUGCUUGGUAUGUCUGGGCUUAGAUCAGAUCAUGUCUUCCUGCAGGAAAUGGUUGGGCUUAAACACAAAACUGCAUCAUGUCUCAGUUUAAGAUAGGGAGCUUCAAUAACACCACUGCUAUUUUCUAUGUUAGCGUUUUUGAGUAUUUUAAGAGAAAGAGAGAGUGAAGGAGAGAAAGGCCUUAGCUAGACCUAAGGUUUAUCCCGGGAUCGUCCUGGGAUCAUCCCUGUUCAUGUAAAUGACACACAGGGGAUCCAGGGAGCAGGCAGGGACAACCCCGGAACGAUCCCGGGAUAACCCUUAGGUCUAGCUAAGGUCAAAGAUAAGGGAAGGGUGUGGUCACAAAAACUUUCAUCAGGUGAAAGUAGCCUGUCUGUGGAAGGAAUCUUAAGGGCACAGUAACGACCCUUCCUAUGUGGCUCCGUGAUUCUGAAAUUCCAUCCCCAGAGAGGCUCUCCUGCUGAUGCCAGGCAAAUAUCCUUUUAUUUUAUUUUUAUCCCUAGAUCUUUUAAACGAUGCCAUGGUUCUAAGUGCUUUAGGGUGUUUUUUUUUUAA
This is a long non-coding RNA of Elgaria multicarinata webbii, 1409 nucleotides long. RefSeq lists it as uncharacterized. Lineage: Eukaryota; Metazoa; Chordata; Lepidosauria; Squamata; Anguidae. The record is from RefSeq and is a predicted model, not a curated record. The transcript is spliced from 4 exons.